This 301-nucleotide ribosomal RNA is filed under the name uncultured bacterium. RNAcentral's name for it is "partial 16S ribosomal RNA". It matches the Rfam family "Bacterial small subunit ribosomal RNA", at positions 509 to 809 of the family's 1533-position model. The record is from RNAcentral.
CAGCCGCCACGGGAAUACGAAGGGGGCUAGCGUUGCUCGGAAUCACUGGGCGUAAAGGGCGCGUAGGCGGGUCUUUAAGUCAGAGGUGAAAUCCUGGAGCUCAACUCCAGAACUGCCUUUGAUACUGAGGAUCUUGAGUUCGGGAGAGGUGAGUGGAACUGCGAGUGUAGAGGUGAAAUUCGUAGAUAUUCGCAAGAACACCAGUGGCGAAGGCGGCUCACUGGCCCGAUACUGACGCUGAGGCACGAAAGCGUGGGGAGCAAACAGGAUUAGAUACCCCCGUAGUCCCUGUCUCUUAUAA